GCAGCUAUAUCAUUUGGUAAGACAUGAGUUCUGUCAUCAUCAUUUCUCCCAGCAAAACCAUCAGCAAUAACAUUUGGCACAAUAAGUUCACUUUGGUGUGUGUUGUGGAAAAACUAAAAUCCUUUAUCAGGGAUGCCUGGACCAUCGACAUCAAUAUUCGCAGGGUCCCCAAUUGUAUAAGGCACCGAGCUACCCUCUCCAUGCUUCGUCCAAAUCAAGUAAUCCUUCAUAAAUCCU
Molecule: long non-coding RNA, 237 nt
Filed under: Sorghum bicolor (sorghum)
Lineage: Eukaryota; Viridiplantae; Streptophyta; Magnoliopsida; Poales; Poaceae
Description: long non-coding RNA (SBIC_LNC013630)
Source: RNAcentral